Molecule: ribosomal RNA, 497 nt
Filed under: uncultured bacterium
Lineage: Bacteria
Description: partial 16S ribosomal RNA
Rfam family: Bacterial small subunit ribosomal RNA
Source: RNAcentral
UCUUCCCUCUGGCGGCGUGCCUAAUACAUGCAAGUCGAGCGAACGGACGAGAAGCUUGCUUCUCUGAUGUUAGCGGCGGACGGGUGAGUAACACGUGGAUAACCUACCUAUAAGACUGGGAUAACUUCAGGAAACCGGAGCUAAUACCGGAUAAUAUUUUGAACCGCAUGGUUCAAAAGUGAAAGACGGUAUUGCUGUCACUUAUAGAUGGAUCCGCGCUGCAUUAGCUAGUUGGUAAGGUAACGGCUUACCAAGGCAACGAUGCAUAGCCGACCUGAGAGGGUGAUCGGCCACACUGGAACUGAGACACGGUCCAGACUCCUACGGGAGGCAGCAGUAGGGAAUCUUCCGCAAUGGGCGAAAGCCUGACGGAGCAACGCCGCGUGAGUGAUGAAGGUCUUCGGAUCGUAAAACUCUGUUAUUAGGGAAGAACAUAUGUGUAAGUAACUGUGCACAUCUUGACGGUACCUAAUCAGGAAGCCACGGCUAACUACGUG